GAUGAACGCUGACAGAAUGCUUAACACAUGCAAGUCUUUGGCGAAGCUGUGCUUGCACAGCCUAGCCAAGGCGGACGGGUGAGUAACGCGUAAGGAACUUGCCCUGCAGUCAGGGAUAACAGACGGAAACGACUGAUAAGACCUGGUAAAGUCAGGCGGACUCAUGUCCAGCCUGAUGAAAAGAGAUGCUGCAGGAGAGCCUUGCGUCCUAUUAGCUUGUUGGUGGGGUAACGGCCCACCAAGGCGAUGAUAGGUAGCCGGCCUGAGUGGGUGGACGGCCACAAGGGGACUGAGAUACGGCCCUUACUCCUACGGGAGGCAGCAGUGGGGAAUAUUGGACAAUGGGGGCAACCCUGAUCCAGCAAUUCUGUGUGCACGAUGAAGGUUUUCGGAUUGUAAAGUGCUUUCAGCAGGGAAGAAAAAAAUGACGGUACCUGCAGAAGAAGCGACGGCUAAAUACGUG
This 463-nucleotide ribosomal RNA is filed under the name uncultured bacterium. RNAcentral's name for it is "partial 16S ribosomal RNA". It matches the Rfam family "Bacterial small subunit ribosomal RNA", at positions 28 to 507 of the family's 1533-position model. The record is from RNAcentral.